GUCCAGACUCCUACGGGAGGCAGCAGUGGGGGAUAUUGCACAAUGGGGGGAACCCUGAUGCAGCGACGCCGCGUGGGUGAAGGAGCGUUUCGGCGCGUAAAGCCCUAUCGGCAGGGAAGAAGGAGGACGGUACCUGACUAAGAAGCCCCGGCUAACUACGUGCCAGCAGCCGCGGUAAUACGUAGGGGGCAAGCGUUAUCCGGAUUUACUGGGUGUAAAGGGAGCGUAGGCGGUGAUGCAAGUCAGAAGUGAAAGCCCGCAGCUCAACUGCGGGACUGCUUUUGAAACUGUAUGACUAGAUUGCAGGAGAGGUAAGUGGAAUUCCUAGUGUAGCGGUGAAAUGCGUAGAUAUUAGGAGGAACACCAGUGGCGAAGGCGGCUUACUGGGCUGUAAAUGACGCUGAGGCUCGAAAGCGUGGGGAGCAAACAGGAUUAGAUACCCGAGUA
RNAcentral lists this ribosomal RNA (447 nucleotides) under uncultured bacterium. RNAcentral describes it as "partial 16S ribosomal RNA". It matches the Rfam family "Bacterial small subunit ribosomal RNA", at positions 329 to 792 of the family's 1533-position model. The record is from RNAcentral.